This 743-nucleotide ribosomal RNA is filed under the name uncultured soil bacterium. RNAcentral describes it as "bacterial SSU rRNA". It matches the Rfam family "Bacterial small subunit ribosomal RNA", at positions 32 to 766 of the family's 1533-position model. The record is from RNAcentral.
AACGCUAGCGGCAGGCUUAAUACAUGCAAGUCGAGGGGCAGCAUGAGUGUAGCAAUACAUUUGAUGGCGACCGGCAAACGGGUGCGGAACACGUACACAACCUUCCUUUAAGUGGGGAAUAGCCCAGAGAAAUUUGGAUUAAUACCCCGUAACAUUAUGAUGUGGCAUCACAUUAUAAUUAUAGCUCAGGCGCUUAAUGAUGGGUGUGCGGCUGAUUAGAUAGUUGGCGGGGUAACGGCCCACCAAGUCUGCGAUCAGUAACUGGUGUGAGAGCACGACCAGUCACACGGGCACUGAGACACGGGCCCGACUCCUACGGGAGGCAGCAGUAAGGAGUAUUGGGCAAUGGAGGCAACUCUGACCCAGCCAUGCCGCGUGAAGGAUGAAGGCCCUCUGGGUUGUAAACUUCUUUUAUAGGGGACGAAAAAAGCUCAUUCUUGAGCACUUGACGGUACCCUAGGAAUAAGCACCGGCUAACUCCGUGCCAGCAGCCGCGGUAAUACGGAGGGUGCAAGCGUUAUCCGGAUUCACUGGGUUUAAAGGGUGCGUAGGUGGGUUGGUAAGUCAGUGGUGAAAUCUCCGAGCUUAACUUGGAAACUGCCAUUGAUACUAUCAGUCUUGAAUAUUGUGGAGGUCAGCGGAAUAUGUCAUGUAGCGGUGAAAUGCUUAGAUAUGACAUAGAACACCAAUUGCGAAGGCAGCUGGCUACACAUAUAUUGACACUGAGGCACGAAAGCGUGGGG